GGCCACUGCUUUUGGGGUUCGAUUAAGCCAUGCAAGUCGAACGAAUCUUCGGAUUCGUGGCGAACGGCUCAGUAACACGUGGAUAAUCUACCCUUAGGACUGGGAUAACCCUGGGAAACUGGGGAUAAUACCGGAUAGUUAGGAGUUCCUGGAAUGGUCUUCUUUUUAAAUGUUCAGGCGCCUAAGGAUGGAUCUGCGGCAGAUUAGGUAGUUGGUGGGGUAAUGGCCCACCAAGCCUUUGAUCUGUACGGGUUGUGAGAGCAAGAGCCCGGAGAUGGAACCUGAGACAAGGUUCCAGGCCCUAC
This 305-nucleotide ribosomal RNA is filed under the name uncultured Methanobacterium sp. RNAcentral describes it as "bacterial SSU rRNA". It matches the Rfam family "Archaeal small subunit ribosomal RNA", at positions 22 to 326 of the family's 1478-position model. The record is from RNAcentral. Lineage: Archaea; Methanobacteriati; Methanobacteriota; Methanobacteria; Methanobacteriales; Methanobacteriaceae.